GGAAAAGAGUCUUAGCUCUACCUUAAUUUUUUUAUUGCACCAAACAAAACACUAGAUUUAAGAGCUAUUCAAAUAAGGCACAGCUUAUUUGAAAUGGGAUACAACCCCUAAUACUGGGUUAAUCUAGAUAUAUUAAAUAAAGUGGGCCUAAAAGCAGCCAUCUUCUAAAAAGCGUUAAAGCUUAACAUAUUAUUGUCUACAAUUCCACAAUUUUUACUUAACCCUUCAUCACUACUGAACUAUUUUAUACCCCUAUAAAAGUCAUUAUGCUAGAACUAGUAACAAGAAAUUGCCCUUCUCCAAAAUGUAUGUUUAAACCAAAAUGGACCCUCCACUGGUAGUUAACGUAAAUGUAAAAAUCAUAGUACCACACAACUAGAAAACCCUAUGACCUCCCCAACGUCAACCUUACACUAGAACAUUACAGGAAAGAUUAAAAGAGAAAGAAGGAACUCGGCAAACCACAGUCCCGCCUGUUUACCAAAAACACCGCCUCUUGCCCAAAUAUAAGAGGUCCAGCCUGCCCAGUGACAUAGUUUAACGGCCGCGGUACCCUAACCGUGCGAAGGUAGCAUAAUCACUUGUUCUUUAAAUAAGGACUCGUAUCAACGGCAUCACGAGGGCUGUACUGUCUCCUUUCUCCAAUCAGUGAAACUGAUCUCCCCGUGAAGAAGCGGGGAUUGACCUAUAAGACGAGAAGACCCCAUGGAGCUUUAAACCCAACACACACCCCUACGCACCCAAACCAAUACAGCCCAAGAGACUUGUGUGUUGGUUUUAGGUUGGGGGGACCGCGGAGUAAAAUCAAACCUCCAUGACAGACGGGCUAAUACCCUUAUCCAUGAACCACAAUUCUAAGAGCCAAUAAAUUGUUGUCUAAUGACCCAAUUACUUGAUCAACGAACCAAGUUACCCUGGGGAUAACAGCGCAAUCUACUUCAAGAGCUCCUAUCGACAAGUAGGUUUACGACCUCGAUGUUGGAUCAGGGUAUCCUAGUGGUGCAGCCGCUACUAAAGGUUCGUUUGUUCAACGAUUAAAACCCUACGUGAUCUG
RNAcentral lists this ribosomal RNA (1054 nucleotides) under Amolops loloensis (rufous-spotted torrent frog). RNAcentral describes it as "partial large subunit ribosomal RNA". It matches the Rfam family "Bacterial large subunit ribosomal RNA", at positions 860 to 2607 of the family's 2925-position model. Lineage: Eukaryota; Metazoa; Chordata; Amphibia; Anura; Ranidae. The record is from RNAcentral.